CUUAAUGUGGAAUCUCUGUGCUUUUCUAUUGCCCCUUUGGUUCUUGGGCGAAGUGGUUACUUGAGCUUUGCCCCUGCACAAAACUUUGUUCUCCAGGGGACCCAAGAGAGUCUGAAAAGACAUCUCAGUACCCCUCCUUAGCUCAGCUCUUGCUGUGCUUGCAGUUUGCCCACUUCUUUUCACUGAGCUUUAUGGUUUUACCAGUCCACAUUACCUCUGCUGUUCUUUUCACGUUCACUUUCCUCCUGCUCUACCUGAUCACUUUUACUGUUUCCUCUAAUGACUGCAUCUGCUAAUCUAGGAGAUGUUUAUAAUUAGAAGACUUCUCAAAAUGUGCAGUUAUAAUAUGUGAGAUUUUUAAUGCAGCAAGAAAGACACAAAAAUCAUGAUUUGCAUACCUUGUUUGUUAAAAUUAAAAGCUAAGCCUUGUGUUCAGCUAGUAGCUGUUUCAGCAGCAGAAAGAAGUUCAGCUAAUUUUAAAGAUUUUUCCUUAAUACCUCUUGGGUUAGAAAAGAAGGGAAAAGGAAAUAGUAAUUCUGCUGAAAACAUUCAUGAAGUGCAGAGCAGACUUGUUUGCUUGUUUCUUUCUCCCCCUUAGGCAUCUGUAAUUCAAAUAAACAAAAAUCCAAAGCAGUGAUUCUUUUUGUCCCCUCAUCCCCUGAGCUUUUCCAGGCUUCAGUGUCUCUUCCUCAGCAGAACUUCAAUGCAGUUGAUGCUGUCCAUGACUAACUCCAAGUCUGCCUCUUCCUGGAGCCUGCAGAGUCAGGAUUGCCUUAUGUAGAGUGAUGCAAACUUUACUGUGCUGUCAUUUCUUUGUGCUGCUCAUUUUACAGAAAAAGUGGGGAAGUACAAAGCCAGCCCUUCAUCUUUCUCCUGUCCUACCCAGACUUUUCUGCAGAUGUGUUGAGAGUCAUCACAAACUGAUUUUUCGUUUUAAAGCUCCCACCCCUCUGUCCUGCUGGAAGCUGGUAUUUGAUUCCUUGCUGUUUUCAGUUUCUCUGCAUUCCCCCCAUAGUGCUGUUUGUUGGUAGCAGUGUGACUCCAGCACAGAGCCCUUGGGGUUGCAUAAGUGACCAAUUCAAUACCAGCUGCAGGACUGAUAGUUUUUAGGGAUUUAAUACUGUAAACCCCAGUGGAAACAAUGAGAGAUUUCUUUGCGAGAUAAAAGUUAUGAACCGUCAAGAUAUACAGCUAAACAACUUCAGAAAGGACUGGCCUCUUUCAGAAAGGAAGGGAAGUCAGACAGUAAACCAGCAGAAAAGAAGAAAAAUAACCCUGAAAACUUGAAUGAAAUGGCACAAUGAGGUGAACAGGACUGAAGAAGGAAAAGUAUGCCUGGUGUUCUUACAUAGCUAAUGGACUUUCCGUAAGAGAAGUAUUAAACUCCAAAAAAUACUCAGAAAAAAACUUAAAAAGAAAGAAUAAAUAGCUAGGAAAUGUAA
Vidua chalybeata is the source of this 1442-nucleotide long non-coding RNA. RefSeq lists it as uncharacterized. The transcript has 3 exons. The record is from RefSeq and is a predicted model, not a curated record. NCBI's taxonomy places the organism in Eukaryota, Metazoa, Chordata, Aves, Passeriformes, Viduidae.